Long non-coding RNA from Talpa occidentalis (Iberian mole), 608 nucleotides. RefSeq lists it as uncharacterized. Lineage: Eukaryota; Metazoa; Chordata; Mammalia; Eulipotyphla; Talpidae. The transcript has 5 exons. The record is from RefSeq and is a predicted model, not a curated record.
AGUGAUAUAAUGGAGACAGCACAAGGUUUGGAGAUAGAGGCUUAGCUGUGCAACCUUGUGAAGAAUGGGAAACAGACACAAUUGAGUGAAUAACUAGUACUUCCGAACAAAACAGCCAUGGUGUCCUCAGACAGCACUGACCAUAACAUGCCAGAGAGUGACCAGUUAAUGGAGCGGACCAUGACCUGCACAGUUCUUUGGAGGCAUUUGCUGGAACAUUGGAACGUUAGUGUGCAGCUGGCAUCAGCCUCUCUCCCGGGGCCCAUGGCUGGCUGCUGCUUCCUCUACUGCGGGUCCUGCUGCCAUCUUGCCAAGACAGGCUACUGCUUGGACUCCAGACUCUGAACAACCAACACUGCCAGGAAGGAUUCCAGCUGGAGCAGGAGAUGUGUUAUCAAAGUGAAUGCAGGGGACUUUUAAUUCUGUCAGCCAUCAAAGUUCUAAUGAAGACACUUCUCACAGAUCAUUAAGGGAUCAGCAAGAACACACACAUGGAGAUAAAGGAUGAAAUUAAAAUUGGAGAUGAGGAAAAAAAGUGGGAAAGAAUUAUGGGAAGCAGAAGGGCAGAUGGCUUCCCUGGCUUACAGAAAUCACAAAGCACAACUCUU